RNAcentral lists this ribosomal RNA (631 nucleotides) under uncultured bacterium. RNAcentral describes it as "bacterial SSU rRNA". It matches the Rfam family "Bacterial small subunit ribosomal RNA", at positions 555 to 1188 of the family's 1533-position model. The record is from RNAcentral.
UGGGCGUAAGGAUGCGUAGGCGGAUAUUUAAGUCAGAUGUGAAACCCCCAGGCUUAACUUGGGGACUGCAUUUGAAACUGGAUAUCUAGAGUGCAGGAGAGGUAAGUGGAAUUCCUAGUGUAGCGGUGAAAUGCGUAGAGAUUAGGAAGAACAUCAGUGGCGAAGGCGGCUUACUGGACUGUAACUGACGCUGAGGCAUGAAAGCGUGGGUAGCAAACAGGAUUAGAUACCCUGGUAGUCCACGCUGUAAACGAUGAAUACUAGGUGUGGGAGGUAUCGACUCCUUCCGUGCCGCCGCUAACGCAAUAAGUAUUCCGCCUGGGGAGUACGAUUGCAAGAUUAAAACUCAAAGGAAUUGACGGGGGCCCGCACAAGCAGCGGAGCAUGUGGUUUAAUUCGAAGCAACGCGAAGAACCUUACCUGGACUUGACAUCCCCUGAAUAACCUAGAGAUAGGCGAAGCCCUUCGGGGCAGGGAGACAGGUGGUGCAUGGUUGUCGUCAGCUCGUGUCGUGAGAUGUUAGGUUAAGUCCUGCAACGAGCGCAACCCUUAUCCUUAGUUGCUACCAUUAAGUUGAGCACUCUAAGGAGACUGCCCGGGUUAACCGGGAGGAAGGUGGGGAUGACGUCAA